This is an unclassified non-coding RNA of Microcebus murinus (gray mouse lemur), 298 nucleotides long. It matches the Rfam family "Metazoan signal recognition particle RNA". From Rfam's summary of the family: The signal recognition particle (SRP) is a universally conserved ribonucleoprotein. It is involved in the co-translational targeting of proteins to membranes. The eukaryotic SRP consists of a 300-nucleotide 7S RNA and six proteins: SRPs 72, 68, 54, 19, 14, and 9. Lineage: Eukaryota; Metazoa; Chordata; Mammalia; Primates; Cheirogaleidae. The record is from Ensembl.
GCUGGGCAUGGUGGCACGCACCUGUAGUCCCAGCUACUCAGGAAGCUGAGAAGGGAGGAUCACUUGAGCCCAGGAGUUCUGGGCUAUCGUGCGCUGUGCUGAUUGGGGUGUCCACACUAAGUUUGGCAUCGAUAUGGUGACCUCCAAGAAGCAGGGGACCACCAGGUUGCCUAGGGAGGGGUGAACCAGCCCAGGUUGGACAGAGCAGGUAAAAACUCCUGUGCUCAUCAGUAGUGAGAUCAUACCUGUGACUAGCCACCUCACCCCAGCCUGGGCAAUGAAGAGAGACCCUGUCUCU